GAAGAUUGACAGCAGCAGAAGAGUAGAUCCUGGGCAAGUGUAGGCUCUGGGAGCAGCGGGGUGAGUGCUGGAAGGAGCUGGCUGGAGGCAGAGCAGGGAGGUGCUCAGACAGGUCAGGAUGGCCUCAGGGAACGCGGCUCAGUGAGAAAGGGUUCACAUUUCCUGGAGAGCCCUUGUCUCUGCCCAUGGAAAACCCAGACUCCUUCCAACUGGGAUGUGCAUCUCAUGUAAAAGUUACUACUCCCAGAAAGGAAGCCAGUGGAUAUAGAAUUUUUUUUUGUAUGCAGAAAUUACUUUAAAUUUGUUUUUAAUCUUAUCCUUUUCUUCCCCCAUCUUAGUGUCUAGUGACUUCCUGCAGGUAACGCACACAUCUUAGGAGAGCGCUGUAUUUCAGUUGCUGUUGGCUCUGAUGUGACUUUGUGGUGUCAGAGGUUCUGCCCAGAGCGUGGCGCUCUCUGCUGAGCGUUGCUUGUUGAAGGCCCGUGUGGAAACUUUGCCUGUAAGCUCGUCGACCCCAGCAGUCUUGGUUCAGAAACCUUUGGACUUGCUGAGACUUCACAGGGCCUGCUAAACUUUCUUGCGUGACCUUUUCGUUUUAGUGUUCCCCAUUAAUUCAGAUGUUUUCCAGAAGAUCUAUACAACCUGGCGUUUGGCCGUGGCUUCCAGGACAGGCUGGAUGCAGAGUGAAGUCCUCUCCUCACUGUCAAUGUUUGCAGAUGUCUUCUUGUAUAAACUUCGUAUUUCUUGAGACUUUCAAUUAGGUUUUUACUUAACUGGACUUUUAAAAUUGCCAUGCACAUAACUCUACCAGUUACAAUCUUGAGCUAACAUGGGUUUUGGUUUUGGUUUUGGUUUUACUUUGAUGAAUGUUUAACAUUUGCAUGCUGGAUGUGGGGGUGGAGGUCAUUUAUCUGCUUUUCAUUGCCUUCUUGGUUAUACUUAGUGACUUUCAGGUAAGGUGUGGAAGGCGUGGUACAGGGUGAAUUGCAGGCCGCACUGUGGCGCCGUGGAGGACAGGUGCGGGCUGCAGUGGUGUGCACAGUGGAUGAGAGACAAGAGGAGACUUCCAUCCUUGAGGGAAACACACAACAAUUUAAAAAACUGAUCGUCUAGCUUACAUGAGGUCCAACAAAUUCAGUUUGCAAAGUUUAACUUCCAAGUUAAUUUAGUAAUUUUUCCCCUAAGUCAUUAAUUUAGUAGCUUAUGUUUAAAUAUAUUUCUUUUGUCUAAAGGAGGCCAUAAAUUCUAAAAUGAAUGACUAAACAUGUAAUAAUUUAGGCAUACAGCACCUGAAGGGAAAACUGCCAGUAUGCUAAAAUAUUGGAUACAGAUGCUUUUAAAAAAUAUAAUGUAGCAUUCUUACAAUGCAUGUGCUCUUAGCGUGUAACUUGGUGGGUAGUUUUGAACUAUAUUUGUGGGAAUGUGUAUCUUGAAUACUUGAGGCUACCACUGCAGAUGUGUGUGUGAGAUGUAUAAAUACUGAAUGUUAUUCUCCCUUCCCUUAAAUGGAAAACAUUAGCUCCCUUUUAUUUCCAUUUUAUUUUUAUUUUUGAAGUGGACUCUUGCUCGUUGCCCAGGCUGGAGUGCAAUGGCACAAUCUCGGCCCACUGCAAUUUCUGCUUCCCGGGUUGAAGUGAUUCUCCUCUCUCAGCCUCCUGAGUAGCUGGGACUACAGGCACCCGCCACCACGCCCAGCUAAUUUUUGUAUUUUUAUUAGAGAUGGAGUUUUGCCAUAUUGGCCAGGCUGGUCUUAAACUCCUGACUUCAGGUGAUCUGCCCACCCCGACCUCCCAAAGUGCUGGGAUUACAGGCGUGAGCCACCGUGCCCAGCCAGCUCCCUUGUGUAAUGAUUUUUA
Molecule: long non-coding RNA, 1856 nt
Filed under: Macaca fascicularis (crab-eating macaque)
Lineage: Eukaryota; Metazoa; Chordata; Mammalia; Primates; Cercopithecidae
Description: lncRNA (ENSMFAG00000064136.1)
Source: RNAcentral